AUUGAACGCUGGCGGCAGGCCUAACACAUGCAAGUCGAACGGUAACAGGAAGAAUCUUGCUUCUUUGCUGACGAGUGGCGGACGGGUGAGUAAUGUCUGGGAAACUGCCUGAUGGAGGGGGAUAACUACUGGAAACGGUAGCUAAUACCGCAUAACGUCGCAAGACCAAAGAGGGGGACCUUCGGGCCUCUUGCCAUCGGAUGUGCCCAGAUGGGAUUAGCUGGUAGGUGGGGUAACGGCUCACCUAGGCGACGAUCCCUAGCUGGUCUGAGAGGAUGACCAGCCACACUGGAACUGAGACACGGUCCAGACUCCUACGGGAGGCAGCAGUGGGGAAUAUUGCACAAUGGGCGCAAGCCUGAUGCAGCGCUGCCGCGUGUAUGAAGAAGGCCUUCGGGUUGUAAAGUACUUUCAGCGGGGAGGAAGGGAGUAAAGUUAAUACCUUUGCUCAUUGACGUUACCCGCAGAAGAAGCACCGGCUAACUCCGUG
This 490-nucleotide ribosomal RNA is filed under the name uncultured bacterium. RNAcentral describes it as "partial 16S ribosomal RNA". It matches the Rfam family "Bacterial small subunit ribosomal RNA", at positions 30 to 507 of the family's 1533-position model. The record is from RNAcentral.